GAGUUUGAUCCUGGCUCAGGAUGAACGCUGGCGGCGUGCCUAAUACAUGCAAGUCGAGCGAACAGAUGAGAAGCUUGCUUCUCUGAUGUUAGCGGCGGACGGGUGAGUAACACGUGGGUAACCUACCUAUAAGACUGGGAUAACUCCGGGAAACCGGGGCUAAUACCUGAUAAUAUUUUGAACCGCAUGGUUCAAUAGUGAAAGGCGGCUUCGGCUGUCACUUAUAGAUGGACCCGCGCCGUAUUAGCUAGUUGGUAAGGUAACGGCUUACCAAGGCGACGAUACGUAGCCGACCUGAGAGGGUGAUCGGCCACACUGGAACUGAGACACGGUCCAGACUCCUACGGGAGGCAGCAGUAGGGAAUCUUCCGCAAUGGGCGAAAGCCUGACGGAGCAACGCCGCGUGAGUGAUGAAGGUUUUCGGAUCGUAAAACUCUGUUGUUAGGGAAGAACAAAUUUGUUAGUAACUGAACAAGUCUUGACGGUACCUAACCAGAAAGCCACGGCUAAUAC
RNAcentral lists this ribosomal RNA (513 nucleotides) under uncultured Staphylococcus sp. Its description in RNAcentral is "bacterial SSU rRNA". It matches the Rfam family "Bacterial small subunit ribosomal RNA", at positions 9 to 503 of the family's 1533-position model. Lineage: Bacteria; Bacillati; Bacillota; Bacilli; Caryophanales; Staphylococcaceae. The record is from RNAcentral.